This 314-nucleotide ribosomal RNA is filed under the name Keratoisis sp. 21 LFD-2014. RNAcentral describes it as "partial 16S ribosomal RNA". It matches the Rfam family "Bacterial large subunit ribosomal RNA", at positions 2089 to 2473 of the family's 2925-position model. Lineage: Eukaryota; Metazoa; Cnidaria; Anthozoa; Scleralcyonacea; Keratoisididae. The record is from RNAcentral.
CCCUAUCGAGCUUUACUGGAUACCGAUAGCGUUAAUUUAGAAUGAUAGAUACUAAGUAUCCUAAUCCCUAAGUUAAUAAUUUUUGUUGGUCGGACAGUUUAGUUGGGGCGACUACCUUUGAAUAAGAAACGAAGGCGAGCUUAUGGUAUUAUUAAAAAUCUCAUUAGCCUCACAGUGAGGGGGACACCCCGAGCUGGCACAAGGACUUUACCCUCAUAGUAUAUUAUAUGCGUAAGGGGCUCCUAUGUGGGCGAUAGUGACCCGAUAUGAUUAUCCAAAAUAAAUAUCGAAAGCGGAUAAAAGCUACCGUAGGG